Molecule: unclassified non-coding RNA, 147 nt
Filed under: uncultured Helotiales
Lineage: Eukaryota; Fungi; Ascomycota; Leotiomycetes; Helotiales
Description: sequence contains ITS2
Source: RNAcentral
CAACCCUCAAGCCUAGCUUGGUCUUGGGCUCUGCCGGCAACGGCUGGCCUUAAAAUCAGUGGCGGUGCCAUCGAGCUCUACGCGUAGUAAUUAAACCCUCGCGUGUGAGUCUUGGUGGAUGCUUGCCAGCAACCCCCAACUUUCUAU